GAUCCCCCCCUAAUUCUGGCAUUAAGGAGCUUGCAAAACUGAAUAAACUGAAAAUGACUUUUCUUGGAGCCAUGAAAAUACACCACCCACGUCCAUGUCCUCAAAGAAAGUAAAUGAAGAACAUUACAGCGAAUAUCACUUUAUCUGGAGCAAAAUCCACUGGAACCAUACAGUGGUAGGAACACUUAAAUGAACCCUUUGAUUAAUAACUAGAAGAUGUGUAUAGGCUAGCAUCAGAGUGAGAAAAUUCCAACAGUCACUGUCUCAAAAGUCUCUCACACUUCAUGAGUUUCCUCUGAAGAAUCUCCCAAGUUCUCACAGUGAAGACCCAUGAAAAUACCUUCACAUUUUCAGGUCCACCCCACUUCCAUUUUCUUGAUGCUCCUUGGGAAACAGAAGGUUGAGAUUCUUGGAUCAUGGAUGCUCCAGGUUCCCAGUUGCAGUGCUUUGUGCAGCAGGCUUCUGCAGUGGGCUUCAGCACUGACCUGAGCGGUCCACCAUGGGGUGACAGGUAUAUACCUAGAAAAGGUAUCACUGGGUCCUAUGGUAACUCUACAUAUGAAAUUUAAAGGAAUUUCCAGAAUGUUUUAUAAAACAACUGUACCAUUUUACAUUUUAACCAGCAGAGUAUGAAACUUCCAUCAAUUUCUCCAUUUUUCCUCAGAGGUAUAUACCUAGAAAAGGUAUCACUGGGUCCUAUGGUAACUCUACAUAUGAAAUUUAAAGGAAUUUCCAGAAUGUUUUAUAAGACAACUGUACCAUUUUACAUUUUAACCAGCAGAGUAUGAAACUUCCAUCAAUUUCUCCAUUUUUUCUCAGAGUACACUUCCUUAGGAUGCCAGUGAGGUUUAAUUGAACAGUGAUCAGUCACAUAUGGAAUAUGUUUCUGAAGAAGGCAGAUUUCUCCAGACAGGAAGAUAAAAAGGAUUAGAGAGGCCAGUUUGGAAUGGGACUUUUGAAUGUUGGUUGCCUUAGAUACCUUGAGAUCUGCCUUGAAGAAGGAGAAAAUGAAGACAAGAGCUUGGUGAAUAAAAUAGUAAGUGUAAAA
Molecule: non-coding RNA, 1048 nt
Organism: Ictidomys tridecemlineatus (thirteen-lined ground squirrel)
Lineage: Eukaryota; Metazoa; Chordata; Mammalia; Rodentia; Sciuridae
Source: RefSeq, a predicted model, not a curated record